This 1752-nucleotide ribosomal RNA is filed under the name Salmonella enterica subsp. enterica serovar Paratyphi B var. L(+) tartrate +. Its description in RNAcentral is "partial 23S ribosomal RNA". It matches the Rfam family "Bacterial large subunit ribosomal RNA", at positions 408 to 2141 of the family's 2925-position model. Lineage: Bacteria; Pseudomonadati; Pseudomonadota; Gammaproteobacteria; Enterobacterales; Enterobacteriaceae. The record is from RNAcentral.
AUGAGUAGGGCGGGACACGUGGUAUCCUGUCUGAAUAUGGGGGGACCAUCCUCCAAGGCUAAAUACUCCUGACUGACCGAUAGUGAACCAGUACCGUGAGGGAAAGGCGAAAAGAACCCCGGCGAGGGGAGUGAAAAAGAACCUGAAACCGUGUACGUACAAGCAGUGGGAGCACAGGUUUACCUGUGUGACUGCGUACCUUUUGUAUAAUGGGUCAGCGACUUAUAUUCUGUAGCAAGGUUAACCGUAUAGGGGAGCCGUAGGGAAACCGAGUCUUAACCGGGCGUUAAGUUGCAGGGUAUAGACCCGAAACCCGGUGAUCUAGCCAUGGGCAGGUUGAAGGUUGGGUAACACUAACUGGAGGACCGAACCGACUAAUGUUGAAAAAUUAGCGGAUGACCUGUGGCUGGGGGUGAAAGGCCAAUCAAACCGGGAGAUAGCUGGUUCUCCCCGAAAGCUAUUUAGGUAGCGCCUCGUGAAUUCAUCUCCGGGGGUAGAGCACUGUUUCGGCUAGGGGGCCAUCCCGGCUUACCAACCCGAUGCAAACUGCGAAUACCGGAGAAUGUUAUCACGGGAGACACACGGCGGGUGCUAACGUCCGUCGUGAAGAGGGAAACAACCCAGACCGCCAGCUAAGGUCCCAAAGUCAUGGUUAAGUGGGAAACGAUGUGGGAAGGCCCAGACAGCCAGGAUGUUGGCUUAGAAGCAGCCAUCAUUUAAAGAAAGCGUAAUAGCUCACUGGUCGAGUCGGCCUGCGCGGAAGAUGUAACGGGGCUAAACCAUGCACCGAAGCUGCGGCAGCGACGCUUAUGCGUUGUUGGGUAGGGGAGCGUUCUGUAAGCCUGUGAAGGUGUGUCGUGAGGCAUGCUGGAGGUAUCAGAAGUGCGAAUGCUGACAUAAGUAACGAUAAAGCGGGUGAAAAGCCCGCUCGCCGGAAGACCAAGGGUUCCUGUCCAACGUUAAUCGGGGCAGGGUGAGUCGACCCCUAAGGCGAGGCCGAAAGGCGUAGUCGAUGGGAAACGGGUUAAUAUUCCCGUACUUGGUGUUACUGCGAAGGGGGGACGGAGAAGGCUAUGUUGGCCGGGCGACGGUUGUCCCGGUUUAAGCGUGUAGGUGUGUGUUCCAGGUAAAUCCGGUUCACUUUAACACUGAGGCGUGACGACGAGGCACUACGGUGCUGAAGCAACAAAUGCCCUGCUUCCAGGAAAAGCCUCUAAGCAUCAGGUAACAUCAAAUCGUACCCCAAACCGACACAGGUGGUCAGGUAGAGAAUACCAAGGCGCUUGAGAGAACUCGGGUGAAGGAACUAGGCAAAAUGGUGCCGUAACUUCGGGAGAAGGCACGCUGACACGUAGGUGAAGUGAUUUACUCAUGGAGCUGAAGUCAGUCGAAGAUACCAGCUGGCUGCAACUGUUUAUUAAAAACACAGCACUGUGCAAACACGAAAGUGGACGUAUACGGUGUGACGCCUGCCCGGUGCCGGAAGGUUAAUUGAUGGGGUCAGCGCAAGCGAAGCUCCUGAUCGAAGCCCCGGUAAACGGCGGCCGUAACUAUAACGGUCCUAAGGUAGCGAAAUUCCUUGUCGGGUAAGUUCCGACCUGCACGAAUGGCGUAAUGAUGGCCAGGCUGUCUCCACCCGAGACUCAGUGAAAUUGAACUCGCUGUGAAGAUGCAGUGUACCCGCGGCAAGACGGAAAGACCCCGUGAACCUUUACUAUAGCUUGACACUGAACAUUGAGCCUUGAUGUGUAG